GGGUUAUACGGGGGGAGUUCUGCUCGGCAUGAUAUCUUGGCAGAUAUUUGAUCUCCAUACAAGAUGAUUGGUUGAGAAAAAAUAGUAUGGGCAAAAGGUGAUUGAUAUACGGAGUAGAUAUGACAGCUAUCAUUGAUAUAUCAUCACCAGUUACCAUUGCUAGAUAUCAUUGCUAGAUAUCAUCGAUAGAUAUCAUUCAUUCAAGCAGGUGAGCAGAUAUAUAGGCAGAUAGGCAGUCAGAUAGUCAUCUAAUAAAUUAGCAUUGUCAGAUAGAUGAGUAGCUGAAUGAUGAUAUUUAUUCUCAUAGAGAUUGAUUGGCUAUUGAGCAGAGAGGUAGAUAGACAUAUAGAUAGAUAGACAGAU
This 363-nucleotide small RNA is filed under the name Histoplasma capsulatum. RNAcentral's name for it is "hypothetical RNA". Lineage: Eukaryota; Fungi; Ascomycota; Eurotiomycetes; Onygenales; Ajellomycetaceae. RNAcentral also lists the same sequence under 1 other name. The record is from RNAcentral.